Molecule: long non-coding RNA, 290 nt
Organism: Actinia tenebrosa (Australian red waratah sea anemone)
Lineage: Eukaryota; Metazoa; Cnidaria; Anthozoa; Actiniaria; Actiniidae
Source: RefSeq, a predicted model, not a curated record
GAUUAAUGAUUUACCUGACGAUUUAUAGCACACGUGCUGAUAUAUAYUUAGAUAGGAGCGAUUGUAUUUCAGUUGUUGUGGAAUCAUUCGCACGCCGGAUCACAAGGACUCAAUAUAAUAUUGUUCAAAAGCGUAAUAGCAAGACAAAACMUUCAAAACACUUCUCUAGUUAUCUCAAACGAAUUUUUGACUAUUGCCAAUACACAUGUAAGGGUCACGCUCGACACGCUCGACAGUCCCAGAUAUUGAGGAAUUAGUACAAGAAUUAAAGAUAUUCUAGAGAAGGAAAA